AUGGCUGAAAGACGGAAGAGGGUUCUGCAUAGUCACCAUAGUCGUGAUGUCCGAGAAGCGCGGAUUGAGCCCUCGAAGGCAGUUGAGGACGAGAGUUUGGUCAGAGACGGGAGUGCCGACAUCGCUCAGGGCGUCGGAGAGUGCCUUCAGACGGUGACAGUAGGCGGUGAUGGAGAGAUCGCCUUGGACGAGGCCGCGGAAUUCCGCCUCGAGGUAGACCGCGCGGGUCAAUUGAUUGUCCAGGAAAAGAUUGGAGAUGAACGUCCAGGCCUCCUGAGCAGUUUGGUCCUCCGCCAUAAUAAUGUCCAGAAUCUCGUCGGAGAUGGACCCGUAAAGCCACGAGCAGACAAUAUAGUUCUCGCAAGUCCAGUCCGGGGUGCGGUCCGCCUCGGCAGUUACGGCGUUGACAUGGGAGAGCAGAUCGUACUUGCCGAGAAGGACGCGAACCAGCAUCCUCCACUUGGUGAAGUUGGAAGCAUGGGUCUAGGGUGA
This 492-nucleotide ribosomal RNA is filed under the name Triticum aestivum (bread wheat). RNAcentral describes it as "partial small subunit ribosomal RNA". Lineage: Eukaryota; Viridiplantae; Streptophyta; Magnoliopsida; Poales; Poaceae. The record is from RNAcentral.